This 481-nucleotide ribosomal RNA is filed under the name uncultured bacterium. Its description in RNAcentral is "bacterial SSU rRNA". It matches the Rfam family "Bacterial small subunit ribosomal RNA", at positions 30 to 502 of the family's 1533-position model. The record is from RNAcentral.
AUUGAACGCUGGCGGCAUGCCUAACACAUGCAAGUCGAACGGCAGCACGGGAGCUUGCUCCUGGUGGCGAGUGGCGGACGGGUGAGUAAUGCAUAGGAAUCUGCCCAGUAGCGGGGGACAACUUGGGGAAACUCAAGCUAAUACCGCAUGCGCCCUACGGGGGAAAGCGGGGGACCUUCGGGCCUCGCACUAUUGGAUGAGCCUAUGUCAGAUUAGCUUGUUGGUGGGGUAACGGCCUACCAAGGCGACGAUCUGUAGCUGGUCUGAGAGGACGAUCAGCCACACUGGGACUGAGACACGGCCCAGACUCCUACGGGAGGCAGCAGUGGGGAAUAUUGCACAAUGGGCGAAAGCCUGAUGCAGCAAUGCCGCGUGUGUGAAGAAGGCCUGCGGGUUGUAAAGCACUUUCAGUAGGAGGAAACAGUAGCCGGUUAAUAUCCGGUUGCCUUGACGGUACCUACAGAAGAAGCACCGGCUAACU